This 504-nucleotide ribosomal RNA is filed under the name uncultured bacterium. RNAcentral's name for it is "bacterial SSU rRNA". It matches the Rfam family "Bacterial small subunit ribosomal RNA", at positions 31 to 518 of the family's 1533-position model. The record is from RNAcentral.
GAACGCUGGCGGCGUGCUUAACACAUGCAAGUCGAACGAAGCAUCUCGCCCGAAGAAAUGGAGUGCUUGCACAAAGUGGAUUCAAUUGAGAUGACUGAGUGGCGGACGGGUGAGUAACGCGUGGGUAACCUGCCCUAUACAGGGGGAUAGCAGUUGGAAACGACUGAUAAUACCGCAUAAGCGCACAGUACCGCAUGGUACAGUGUGAAAAACUCCGGUGGUAUAGGAUGGACCCGCGUCUGAUUAGCUAGUUGGUGAGGUAACGGCUCACCAAGGCGACGAUCAGUAGCCGACCUGAGAGGGUGACCGGCCACAUUGGGACUGAGACACGGCCCAAACUCCUACGGGAGGCAGCAGUGGGGAAUAUUGCACAAUGGGCGAAAGCCCGAUGCAGCCGACGCCGCGUGAGUGAUGAAGUAUUUCGGUAUGUAAAGCUCUAUCAGCAGGGAAGAUAAUGACGGUACCUGACUAAGAAGCACCGGCUAAAUACGUGCCAGCCGCCGC